RNAcentral lists this ribosomal RNA (458 nucleotides) under uncultured bacterium. Its description in RNAcentral is "partial 16S ribosomal RNA". It matches the Rfam family "Bacterial small subunit ribosomal RNA", at positions 28 to 506 of the family's 1533-position model. The record is from RNAcentral.
GAUGAACGCUGGCGGCGCGCCUAACACAUGCAAGUCGAACGGCACCCCUCCUCGGAGGGAAGCGAGUGGCGAACGGCUGAGUAACACGUGGAGAACCUGCCCCCUCCCCCGGGAUAGCCGCCCGAAAGGACGGGUAAUACCGGAUACCCCGGGGUGCCGCAUGGCACCCCGGCUAAAGCCCCGACGGGAGGGGAUGGCUCCGCGGCCCAUCAGGUAGACGGCGGGGUGACGGCCCACCGUGCCGACAACGGGUAGCCGGGUUGAGAGACCGACCGGCCAGAUUGGGACUGAGACACGGCCCAGACUCCUACGGGAGGCAGCAGUGGGGAAUCUUGCGCAAUGGGGGGAACCCUGACGCAGCGACGCCGCGUGCGGGACGGAGGCCUUCGGGUCGUAAACCGCUUUCAGCAGGGAAGAGUCAAGACUGUACCUGCAGAAGAAGCCCCGGCUAACUACGU